RNAcentral lists this non-coding RNA (29 nucleotides) under Rattus norvegicus (Norway rat). The record is from RNAcentral. Lineage: Eukaryota; Metazoa; Chordata; Mammalia; Rodentia; Muridae.
UAGUAAAGGAUUUGAUUCCUGGCACCGGU